Molecule: ribosomal RNA, 1669 nt
Filed under: metagenome
Description: SSU rRNA
Rfam family: Eukaryotic small subunit ribosomal RNA
Source: RNAcentral
CCAGAGCUAAUACAUGCAAAAGGCCUCCACUUCGGCGGGGCGAUGAAUUUAUUAGAUUAAAAACCAAUGCCGCGCUUCGGCGCGGGAUCUCUGGCGAAUCAUAAUAACUAGUCGAAUCGCCCGCCUUAGUGGGCGAUGAUUCAUACAAGUUUCUGCCCUAUCAACUUUCGAUGGUAGUGUAUUGGACUACCAUGGUGAUAACGGGUGACAGGGAAUUAGGGUUCGAUUCUGGAGAGGCAGCCUGAGAGACGGCUACCACUUCCAAGGAAGGCAGCAGGCGCGCAACUUACCCAAUCCCGACACGGGUAGGUAGUGACAAGAAAUAACAGUAUAGGAUCCUUAACGGAUACUAUAAUUGCAAUGAGAACAAUUCAAAAACCUUAACGAUAAACAUUUGGAGGGCAAGUCUGGUGCCAGCAGCCGCGGUAAUUCCAGCUCCAAUAGCGUAUAUUAAUGUUGUUGCAGUUAAAAGGCUCGUAGUUGGAUUUCGGAGAGCACUAGCGUCGCGGUCCAGCGCAAUGCCGUGUUUACCGCACCUAGGCCUCCUCCUUUCAAACGCGAGCCCCAUUCCUUAAUUGGUUUGGGUGUUUUCUCGCUUUGGAACGUUUACUUUGAAAAAAUUAGAGUGUUUAAAGCAGGCGUAAACCUAGCCUUUGAAUACAUUAGCAUGGGAUAAUGGAAUAGGAUUGUGGUACCUAUUUUCCGUUGGUUUCUAGUGUCUACAAUAAUGAUUAAAAGGGACAGUCGGGGGUAUUAGUAUUUAGUUGUCAGAGGUGAAAUUCUAAGAUUUACUAAGGACUGACUACUGCGAAAGCAUUUACCAAGGAUGUUUUCAUUAAUCAAGAACGAAAGUUGGGGGAUCGAAGACGAUUAGAUACCGUCGUAGUCCUAACCUUAAACGAUGCCGACCAGGAAUUCGGAAAAGUUACAUGGAUGACUUUCCGGGCGCCUUGUGAGAAAUCACAAGUAUUCGGGCUCCGGGGGGAGUAUGGUCGCAAGGCUGAAACUUAAAGGAAUUGACGGAAGGGCACCACCAGGCGUGGAACCUGCGGCUUAAUUUGACCCAACACGGGAAAACUUACCAGGACAAGACACGGGAAUGAUUGACAGAUUAAAAGCUCUUUCAUGAUUCCGUGGGUGGUGGUGCAUGGCCGUUUCCAGUUGGUGGAGUGAUUUGUCAGGUUAAUUCCGAUAACGAACGAGACCUUAGCCUGCUAAAUAGUAGUGCCAAAUGCGUGGCCUUCGGGCUUUGCCUUGGCAUAUACUUCUUAGAGGGACCGCGAGAUCAAAGCUCGCGGAAGCUUGAGGCCAAAACAGGCCUGUGAUGCCCCUAGAUGCCCUGGGCUGCACGCGCGUUACACUGAUGCAUUCAACGAGUUUUUAUCCUUGCCCGAAAGGGCCGGGUAAUCUUAUGAAAGUGCAUCGUGCUUGGGAUAGACGAUUGCAAUUAUUCGUCUUGAACGAGGAAUGCCUAGUAAUCGCAAGUCAUCAACUUGCGCUGAUUACGUCCCUGCCCUUUGUACACACCGCCCGUCGCUCCUACCGAUUGAAUGGUCCGGCAAGAGCUUCGGAUAGUCGGGUGGCGGCCCUGCCCACCGGCGGGGACGCCCCUGCGCUAAAAGUUGUUCAAGCCUUAUCAUUUAGAGGAAGGAGAAGUCGUAACAAGGUU